RNAcentral lists this ribosomal RNA (490 nucleotides) under uncultured bacterium. Its description in RNAcentral is "bacterial SSU rRNA". It matches the Rfam family "Bacterial small subunit ribosomal RNA", at positions 501 to 990 of the family's 1533-position model. The record is from RNAcentral.
CUACGUGCCAGCAGCCGCGGUAAUACGUAGGGUGCGAGCGUUAAUCGGAAUUACUGGGCGUAAAGCGGGCGCAGACGGUUACUUAAGCAGGAUGUGAAAUCCCCGGGCUCAACCUGGGAAUUGCGUUCUGAACUGGGUGGCUAGAGUGUGUCAGAGGGGGGUAGAAUUCCACGUGUAGCAGUGAAAUGCGUAGAGAUGUGGAGGAAUACCGAUGGCGAAGGCAGCCCCCUGGGAUAGCACUGACGUUCAUGCCCGAAAGCGUGGGUAGCAAACAGGAUUAGAUACCCUGGUAGUCCACGCCCUAAACGAUGUCGAUUAGCUGUUGGGCAACUUGAUUGCUUGGUAGCGAAGCUAACGCGUGAAAUCGACCGCCUGGGGAGUACGGUCGCAAGAUUAAAACUCAAAGGAAUUGACGGGGACCCGCACAAGCGGUGGAGCAUGUGGUUUAAUUCGAAGCAACGCGAAGAACCUUACCAGGUCUUGACAUCCC